This 523-nucleotide ribosomal RNA is filed under the name Filenchus chilensis. Its description in RNAcentral is "SSU rRNA". It matches the Rfam family "Eukaryotic small subunit ribosomal RNA", at positions 88 to 590 of the family's 1831-position model. Lineage: Eukaryota; Metazoa; Nematoda; Chromadorea; Rhabditida; Tylenchidae. The record is from RNAcentral.
CGCGAAUAGCUCAUUACAACAGCUGUAAUUUACUUGAUCUUGACGCUAUCCGCUUACAUGGAUAACUGUGGUAAUUCUAGAGCUAAUACAUGCACAAAAGCUCUGCCCCUCGUGGGAAGAGUGCAUUUAUUAGAGCAAAACCAGGCGAGUCCCUCCCAAGGGGACUCGUACCUUUGUUGACUCAGAAUAACUCUAGCUGAUCGCAUGGUCCUCGUACCGGCGACGUAUCUUUCAAGUGUCUGCCUUAUCAACUUUCGAUGGUAGUGUACCUGACUACCAUGGUUGUGACGGGUAACGGAGGAUAAGGGUUCGACUCCGGAGAAGGGGCCUGAGAAAUGGCCACUACGUCUAAGGAUGGCAGCAGGCGCGCAAAUUACCCACUCUCGGCAUGAGGAGGUAGUGACGAGAAAUAACGAGACCGUUCUCCAAAGAGGCCGGUCAUCGGAAUGGGUACAAUCUAAACCCUUUAACGAGUAUCUAUGAGAGGGCAAGUCUGGUGCCAGCAGCCGCGGUAAUUCCAGCU